This 486-nucleotide ribosomal RNA is filed under the name uncultured bacterium. Its description in RNAcentral is "partial 16S ribosomal RNA". It matches the Rfam family "Bacterial small subunit ribosomal RNA", at positions 30 to 507 of the family's 1533-position model. The record is from RNAcentral.
AUUGAACGCUGGCGGCAUGCCUUACACAUGCAAGUCGAACGGCAGCACGGGUGCUUGCACCUGGUGGCGAGUGGCGAACGGGUGAGUAAUACAUCGGAACAUGUCCUGUAGUGGGGGAUAGCCCGGCGAAAGCCGGAUUAAUACCGCAUACGAUCUACGGAUGAAAGCGGGGGACCUUCGGGCCUCGCGCUAUAGGGUUGGCCGAUGGCUGAUUAGCUAGUUGGUGGGGUAAAGGCCUACCAAGGCGACGAUCAGUAGCUGGUCUGAGAGGACGACCAGCCACACUGGGACUGAGACACGGCCCAGACUCCUACGGGAGGCAGCAGUGGGGAAUUUUGGCCAAUGGGCGAAAGCCUGAUCCAGCAAUGCCGCGUGUGUGAAGAGGGCCUUCGGGUUGUAAAGCACUUUUGUCCGGAAAGAAAUCCUUGGCCCUAAUACGGUCGGGGGAUGACGGUACCGGAAGAAUAAGCACCGGCUAACUACGUG